RNAcentral lists this ribosomal RNA (414 nucleotides) under uncultured microorganism. Its description in RNAcentral is "bacterial SSU rRNA". It matches the Rfam family "Archaeal small subunit ribosomal RNA", at positions 330 to 745 of the family's 1478-position model. The record is from RNAcentral.
GUGCACCAGGCGCGAAAACUUCACACUGUGCGAAAGCACGAUGAGGGAAUCCCAAGUGCUUGCACGUAAGUGUAAGCUGUUUCUCUGUUUAAAACGCAGAGAGAGUAAGGGCUGGGUAAGACGGGUGCCAGCCGCCGCGGUAAUACCUGCAGCUCAAGUGGUGACCGUUAUUAUUGGGCCUAAAACGUCCGUAGCCGGUUUAAUAAAUGCCUGGGUAAAUCGUGUAGCUUAACUAUACGAAUUCCGGGUAGACUGUUAAACUCGAGACCGGGAGAAGUUAGAGGUACUCCUGGGGUAGAGGUGAAAUUCUGUAAUCCUAGGAGGACCACCAGUGGCGAAGGCGUCUAACUAGAACGGGUCUGACGGUGAGGGACGAAGCCCUGGGGCGCAAACGGGAUUAGAUACCCCUGUAGU